Molecule: unclassified non-coding RNA, 300 nt
Filed under: uncultured Lasiosphaeriaceae
Lineage: Eukaryota; Fungi; Ascomycota; Sordariomycetes; Sordariales; Lasiosphaeriaceae
Description: sequence contains 5.8S rRNA gene, ITS2
Rfam family: 5.8S ribosomal RNA (bases 1-86)
Source: RNAcentral
GUGUAUAAGGGACAGGUGAGUCAUCGAAUCUUUGAACGCACAUUGCGCCCGCUAGUAUUCUGGCGGGCAUGCCUGUUCGAGCGUCAUUUCAACCAUCAAGCCCUUAGCUUGUGUUGGGGACCUGCGGCUGCCGCAGCCCCCGAAAUGCAGUGGCGGGCUCGUUGUCACACCGAGUGCAGUAAUUAUUCUUCUCUCCGGGCGUGGCGGCGGGUUCCAGCCGUGAAACCACUAAAUUUAUCAAGGUUGACCUCGGAUCAGGUAGGAAUACCCGCUGAACUUAAGCAUAUCAAUAAGCGGAGG